This 497-nucleotide ribosomal RNA is filed under the name uncultured bacterium. Its description in RNAcentral is "partial 16S ribosomal RNA". It matches the Rfam family "Bacterial small subunit ribosomal RNA", at positions 28 to 507 of the family's 1533-position model. The record is from RNAcentral.
GAUGAACGCUGGCGGCGUGCCUAAUACAUGCAAGUCGAGCGAACAGACGAGGAGCUUGCUCCUUCGACGUUAGCGGCGGACGGGUGAGUAACACGUAGGUAACCUACCUAUAAGACUGGGAUAACUUCGGGAAACCGGAGCUAAUACCGGAUAAUAUUUCGAACCGCAUGGUUCGAUAGUGAAAGAUGGCUUUGCUAUCACUUAUAGAUGGACCUGCGCCGUAUUAGCUAGUUGGUAAGGUAACGGCUUACCAAGGCAACGAUACGUAGCCGACCUGAGAGGGUGAUCGGCCACACUGGAACUGAGAUACGGUCCAGACUCCUACGGGAGGCAGCAGUAGGGAAUCUUCCGCAAUGGGCGAAAGCCUGACGGAGCAACGCCGCGUGAGUGAUGAAGGUCUUCGGAUCGUAAAACUCUGUUAUUAGGGAAGAACAAACGUGUAAGUAACUGUGCACGUCUUGACGGUACCUAAUCAGAAAGCCACGGCUAACUACGUG